UCCGGUACUCGUUAAGGCUGAGCUGUGAUGGGGAGAAGACAUUGUGUCUUCGAGUCGUUGAUUUCACACUGCCGAGAAAAGCCUCUAGAUAGAAAAUAGGUGCCCGUACCGCAAACCGACACAGGUAGUCAAGAUGAGAAUUCUAAGGUGAGCGAGCGAACUCUCGUUAAGGAACUCGGCAAAAUGACCCCGUAACUUCGGGAGAAGGGGUGCUCUUUAGGGUUAACGCCCAGAAGAGCCGCAGUGAAUAGGCCCAAGCGACUGUUUAUCAAAAACACAGGUCUCUGCUAAACCGUAAGGUGAUGUAUAGGGGCUGACGCCUGCCCGGUGCUGGAAGGUUAAGAGGAGUGGUUAGCUUCUGCGAAGCUACGAAUCGAAGCCCCAGUAAACGGCGGCCGUAACUAUAACGGUCCUAAGGUAGCGAAAUUCCUUGUCGGGUAAGUUCCGACCCGCACGAAAGGCGUAACGAUUUGGGCACUGUCUCAACGAGAGACUCGGUGAAAUCAUAGUACCUGUGAAGAUGCAGGUUACCCGCGACAGGACGGAAAGACCCCGUGGAGCUUUACUGUAGCCUGAUAUUGAAAUUCGGCACAGCUUGUACAGGAUAGGUAGGAGCCUUUGAAACGUGAGCGCUAGCUUACGUGGAGGCGCUGGUGGGAUACUACCCUAGCUGUGUUGGCUUUCUAACCCGCACCACUUAUCGUGGUGGGAGACAGUGUCAGGCGGGCAGUUUGACUGGGGCGGUCGCCUCCUAAAAGGUAACGGAGGCGCUCAAAGGUUCCCUCAGAAUGGUUGGAAAUCAUUCAUAGAGUGUAAAGGCAUAAGGGAGCUUGACUGCGAGACCUACAAGUCGAGCAGGGUCGAAAGACGGACUUAGUGAUCCGGUGGUUCCGCAUGGAAGGGCCAUCGCUCAACGGAUAAAAGCUACCCCGGGGAUAACAGGCUUAUCUCCCCCAAGAGUUCACAUCGACGGGGAGGUUUGGCACCUCGAUGUCGGC
RNAcentral lists this ribosomal RNA (998 nucleotides) under Staphylococcus aureus. Its description in RNAcentral is "partial 23S ribosomal RNA". It matches the Rfam family "Bacterial large subunit ribosomal RNA", at positions 1541 to 2536 of the family's 2925-position model. Lineage: Bacteria; Bacillati; Bacillota; Bacilli; Caryophanales; Staphylococcaceae. The record is from RNAcentral.